CCUACGGGAGGCAGCAGUGGGGGAUAUUGCACAAUGGGGGAAACCCUGAUGCAGCGACGCCGCGUGUGGGAAGACGGUCCUCUGGAUUGUAAACCACUGUUCCCAGGGACGAAGAUGACGGUACCUGGGGAUGAAGCUCCGGCUAACUACGUGCCAGCAGCCGCGGUAAUAGGUAGGGAGCGAGCGUUGUCCGGAAUUACUGGGUGUAAAGGGAGCGUAGGCGGGACUGCAAGUUGGGUGUCAAAUCUACCGGCUCAACCGGUAGCCGCACUCAAAACUGCAGUUCUUGAGUGAAGUAGAGGCAGGCGGAAUUCCUAGUGUAGCGGUGAAAUGCGUAGAUAUUAGGAGGAACACCGGUGGCGAAGGCGGCCUGCUGGGCUGUUACUGACGCUGAGGCUCGAAAGUGUGGGGAGCAAACAGGAUUAGAUACCCGAGUAGUC
RNAcentral lists this ribosomal RNA (440 nucleotides) under uncultured bacterium. RNAcentral's name for it is "partial 16S ribosomal RNA". It matches the Rfam family "Bacterial small subunit ribosomal RNA", at positions 338 to 795 of the family's 1533-position model. The record is from RNAcentral.